UUUUUAUUGAAACACAAACUUCAUUCUAGAUCCAAAUCGAUGUAAGACGUAUGGGAAAAAAUCAUACAGGCAAUGAUGAAAGGAGUGUAAACAAAAUGCGAGGGAUUUUAGAACUAGAAGGUGGAGAAAGAAGAUAGUUGCACAAGAGAUGACUUCAAACUUUCCAUUCUACUCUCUACUAAUUCUCAAUUCCAAUUGCACAAAAUCUUCUCUGGUUUCUUUU
This 223-nucleotide long non-coding RNA is filed under the name Trifolium pratense (red clover). RNAcentral's name for it is "long non-coding RNA (TPRA_LNC008644)". The record is from RNAcentral. Lineage: Eukaryota; Viridiplantae; Streptophyta; Magnoliopsida; Fabales; Fabaceae.